UACGGAGGGUGCAAGCGUUAUCCGGAUUCACUGGGUUUAAAGGGUGCGUAGGCGGGCUGGUAAGUCAGUGGUGAAAUCUUCAAGCUUAACUUGGAAACUGCCGUUGAUACUAUCAAUCUUGAAUGUUGUGGAGGUAAGCGGAAUAUGUCAUGUAGCGGUGAAAUGCUUAGAUAUGACAUAGAACACCGAUAGCGAAGGCAGCUUGCUAGACAAUAAUUGACGCUGAGGCACGAAAGCGUGGGGAGCAAACAGG
This 253-nucleotide ribosomal RNA is filed under the name uncultured bacterium. RNAcentral describes it as "partial 16S ribosomal RNA". It matches the Rfam family "Bacterial small subunit ribosomal RNA", at positions 524 to 776 of the family's 1533-position model. The record is from RNAcentral.